RNAcentral lists this ribosomal RNA (385 nucleotides) under uncultured bacterium. Its description in RNAcentral is "bacterial SSU rRNA". It matches the Rfam family "Bacterial small subunit ribosomal RNA", at positions 28 to 418 of the family's 1533-position model. The record is from RNAcentral.
GAUGAACGCUAGCGGCAGGCCUAAUACAUGCAAGUCGAACGCUCAGUAGCAAUACUGGGAGUGGCGCACGGUGCGUAACGCGUACACAAUCUACCUCUAAGCGGGGGACACCUCCUGGAAACGGGGAUUAAUACCGCAUAAUAUGCCGAGGUCGCAUGACUUUGGUAUUAAAGCAGCAAUGCACUUAGAGAUGAGUGUGCGUCCCAUUAGGUAGUUGGUGAGGUAACGGCUCGACCAAGCCUAUGAUGGGUAGCCGGUCUGAGAGGAUGGUCGGCCACACGGGCACUGAGACACGGGCCCGACUCCUACGGGAGGCAGCAGUAAGGAAUAUUGGUCAAUGGUGGAAACACUGAACCAGCCAUGCCGCGUGGAGGAAUAAGGUCCU